GAUGAACGCUAGCGGGAGGCUUAACACAUGCAAGUCGAGGGGCAGCAUAGAGUAGCAAUACUUUGAUGGCGACCGGCGCACGGGUGAGUAACGCGUAUGUAACCUACCCUGUACAGGGGGAUAGCCCGGAGAAAUUCGGAUUAAUACCCCAUAAUGAUAUCGAGAGGCAUCUUUUGAUAUUUAAAGCUUCGGCGGUACGGGAUGGGCAUGCGUGACAUUAGCUAGUUGGUAAGGUAACGGCUUACCAAGGCUGCGAUGUCUAGGGGUCCUGAGAGGGUGAUCCCCCACACUGGUACUGAGACACGGACCAGACUCCUACGGGAGGCAGCAGUGAGGAAUAUUGGUCAAUGGGCGUAAGCCUGAACCAGCCAUCCCGCGUGAAGGAAGAAGGCGCUAUGCGUCGUAAACUUCUUUUCCAGAGGAAUAAAAUUUUGUACGCGUACAGAACUGAAGGUACUCUGGGAAUAAGCAUCGGCUAACUCCGUGCCAGCCGCCGCGGUAA
This 502-nucleotide ribosomal RNA is filed under the name uncultured bacterium. RNAcentral's name for it is "partial 16S ribosomal RNA". It matches the Rfam family "Bacterial small subunit ribosomal RNA", at positions 28 to 523 of the family's 1533-position model. The record is from RNAcentral.